CGGGGGACAUUUUCUGCAAGUCCAUCCUGUGUGUGCAUGCUGUUACGCGCAGGACUCGACGUGUUUGCGUUUAACAUACCUGUGAAAAAGCUUGUUGGCUGCAUGUUUUUGAGUCAGUAUUUUGACACAUGAUUUGGGUUUACAUGGAAUUUAAUCCCAAUUUGAUAAAGUAUGAAGGUGCAAAUUGUAGCAGCGUUACUAGGCCGCAUCGUCGUGGAAAUGUGGAGUAUGAUGUGCUGUCCACAGAGCAGGGGAUAAACUCGGGUCGGUUGCAGUGUUUCUUGAUGAUUGCACAUCCACACGUGGGCAGAAGGCCGGCUAAGGCCUCCAUGACUUUAUGAUGGAAUGCAGAAAAUGGGCUGUGUGGAUGUAUCCUUGGAAUAUCCGUAUGCUGUAGUAAGU
Long non-coding RNA from Micropterus dolomieu (smallmouth bass), 402 nucleotides. RefSeq lists it as uncharacterized. The transcript is spliced from 3 exons. The record is from RefSeq and is a predicted model, not a curated record. Lineage: Eukaryota; Metazoa; Chordata; Actinopteri; Centrarchiformes; Centrarchidae.